Molecule: long non-coding RNA, 2683 nt
Organism: Esox lucius (northern pike)
Lineage: Eukaryota; Metazoa; Chordata; Actinopteri; Esociformes; Esocidae
Source: Ensembl
UUGAAAUAAGUAUUUGUAAAAACCACGUUAUUUGUGCCUUUCUGAAUACCAUAUUUGGGUUCGGCUCCACCCCUAACCUACAGUAACCCUUGUUUUUUCGUGUGUCCACAAGUUUGGUUGCUUAUGUGCUUAUUCCUUGUAGCUUUUAUCAACUGAUGCGUAACGUUAGCUAAAUCGUAUUUCUUUGUGUUACAUUAUCCACAUAAUGUGGAUAACGUUACUCUUGGCAGUAACAUUUAGCUAGACUAGCUGAACCUGCACUUGUUACAAUUCCGUUACUGAGGUGUUUUGUGUGUCAUUGUGUAUCCACAUUGUUCUUACCUAGCCUGUGUGUGUCUUUAGCUGCCGAUUUUUUAAACCAUAUUUCUACGCAUUGCUUUCAGGUCAUGACGUUUUCUGUAGUUUUGUCCCCGGAGGAGGAUGACUGUUUGGCAGUGGUUCCACGUCUGUGGCUCAAAGGGGGACUUUCAUACUGGCCACCACACAGCAUCACCAGCAGGAAGUCCUUCAGCCACGACAAGUUUGACAGAACUUGUUCACCACCUGAAGACACCUGGGAGGCUGUCCCUUAUAAGUUCAUCAAGCAUGCAGGUGAAUUUGAAAACGUAAUAACAGUUUGAAACUUGGAAUUAAAUAAUGUUUUGCAGGGUAAAUGCUUACAAAACCUUAACCUUUCCUGGACACGUGAGAGACCGGACGUGUGUAUUGCCAGAGGAGGGAAAAUUGUUCCAGCGUUGGCCCCUACCACCCCAAGGACGCACAUCUACACCACAACACCCUGUGGAUUGCAGCCCUGGAGGAUAGAGCAAGCACAGUACUCCAAGGCAUCAGAGAGGUACUCCAUGCUACCAUGUGGAGGACUGCUACAUAAGUAACUGUGGGUUCAUUCACUUAACCCAGAUGCUUAACUUGUUAUUAAAGCAUGUUGCAUACAAUUUUAUUUGUCAAUUUAAUUUUAAAGGCAAGAAGGUGCACGUGAAGGUAAGAAUGAACAUUUUGGUGGACACUGUGAUUUGAGUUCUGAUUGUAAAAUAACCAGAUAUUUAGGACUGAAUAAUUAACUGUCUGUCUUUAAUAUCAGAACAUUUGGAGAAGAUCAAGCGGCUGACUGAAGAGAAGGUCGAGCUGAGGGCACAGCUGGCUGUACAAUCAGAUAAAAACAAGACUAUAGUCACGCUAGCAUCUUGUCUUCAUGAAACUGCAUUUGUCUGAACGUGUGCCCUUUACUAAAAUGCAAUACUGUACAGCCUUUCUGAAAUUACAUGUAUAUGGCAGUUUUGUUUAUUUCACUAUUAAGCUAUUGACAUUUCAUUGUGCUUUUUAGCUUCUGAUAAACGUCAGAAGUAAAAACAAGACUAUAGUUGCGCUAACAUGAAACAUUUCAUUUGUUUUGAAUGUCAAGCAAUUCUCAAAAUCAUGUCAGACCAUUUAAGUAUCACAUUUAUUUCAAUCAAUCAAAUUUAUUUAUAAAGCCCUUUUCACAACAGCAGUUGUGAAAGUGCUUUUACAGAGACACCCGGCCUUAAAACCCAAGGAGCUAACAACAGUAGUGUUGAAUUUCAGUGGCUAGGAAAAACUCCCUAAGAAGGCCGAAUUUUAGGAAGAAACCUAGAGAGGACCCAGGCUCAGAGGGGUGACCAGUCCUCUUCUGGCUGUGCCGGGUGAGAUAUUAAGAGUCCAAUUGGAGAUAAUUAAUACAUUUAUCUGGGCUAAAUCUAGAGUCUAUUUAAAAUUAGACUAGGUCAGAAGUAUGACCAGAUGGACAAAGACAGGGACAGCAACAGGCCCCCCAAACCAGGUACUCCACAGGUGUGGACCAGGACCUCAUGUCCUCCUAAAGUUUAAAAUGGGAGAAGACUGGGAAAAUUCAGAAAAUGCAUUCAUCAUAUCAACAACGAUUUAUAGUGGAGAAGGAGAACUUUGUGGGCACGGAGAACUGACCCAAUCCCCCAGCACAAUAGUAGAGCAGCGUAAGACCUAGGAACUGAGACGGGGGGGUCCGGCGACACUGGCCCUACCCGGGGGAGGCCCCAGACAGGGCCCAACAGACAGGAAAUCAAUCCACCCACAUUGCCAGGCAUCAACUAAAAGGACACCCACCAACCGCGACCACCCUGAAUGAGGGCCGAGUAUUGCCAGCAGAGUACAGCCCAAUUGCACAAGUACAAUAUCUGAGUACUGUAUUACAGGAGCCAUAAGGAAGAAUCCUUCCAACCGGGAUGCCACUGACAAGGCUGUCCAGAACCAGGUCCCCAGGUACCAGAAAGGGGCAGCUGACCGUACAGGUGGGAGAAGAUGUUGCGGCGGUACAAGGUACCUGCCAUGAGUAUGAAUGACAUCUCCAGCACAACCAAUAUUCCUGCUAAUCUACAGUACUCUUUUUACUUUUUUUUAACUGCUGCUAUGUACAUUGUUAUGUAUAUGAUCGCAUUAACCUCUUAAUAUAUUUAAAGCUGUGUGUGAAUGUUCUUAAUUCUGUCUGUAGUUUUAGUGUUAUGCCACCGUUCAUAAGCUUAUUGCACUGAUGUGUCUAUAAUAUUCAAUAACUAUCGAUUGCUGCUAGGUCGUAUGUUUAUUACUGCCAUUCUAGCCCUUGUUUAUUUUGUAUUGUAUAAUGUUUAUUUUGUACUUUAUCACAUUCAAAUACUGUAGUUUUACUAUAUCUGUUGCUGGACAUGUUUUC